UCUGUCGCUCCUUCGCCAAGAAAAAAAUCCCUCUCCCGAUCCGCAACAGAGAAACCCUCGCCUCUCUCAAACGGAGCGCCGCUGCGCGGCUGUGCCGCCGCCGUCGUCAGUGGUCAAGCCGCGAUUCCCCGCCGCGCCGGCUGCCGGAUCCGCGUCCUGACCACCUGCCUCUCCUAGUCUCCUUCUGAUCUUCUCGAACUAUUGCUAAACUACAGUGCACGCACAGAUCCAGGUCCUUCUACUAUUGUGGGUGAAGAAACGAUGACCUUGAAUUAAGCAAGUCUUCAAUAAUUUGGUUCCAAACCAUUUUUGCAAUGAUGCAUUUUGUUAAACUAUUUGUUUAAUGGAAUUUUCUCUCGUGAGAAUAAUGAAUUCAUAUUUUGUUUUGAA
Molecule: long non-coding RNA, 390 nt
Organism: Triticum aestivum (bread wheat)
Lineage: Eukaryota; Viridiplantae; Streptophyta; Magnoliopsida; Poales; Poaceae
Exons: 2
Source: RefSeq, a predicted model, not a curated record